GGAGUGCUGCUACCUCUUACCCUGACUUUUGAGUACCGUCGUUUCCUCGGCGGGCCCGCCCGCCGAUUGGACAAUAUUCAAACCCUUUGCAGUUGCAAUCACCGUCUGAAAAAACAAAAUAGAUUCAUGUUUCAACAACGGAUCUCUUGGUUCUGGCAUCUAUGAAUAACGCAUCGAAAUGCGAUAAGUAAAGUGAAUUGGCCAUUUCAGUGAAUAAUCAAAUCUUUUAACGCACAUUGCGCCCCUUGGUAUUCCAUGGGGCAAGCCUGUUCGAGCGUCAUUUGUACCUUCAAGCUCUGCUUGUUGUUGGGUGUUUGUCUCUCCUCUGCGUGUCGACUCCCUUAAAACAAUUGGAGAGCGGGUCUUUGUUUUUGGGGUGAAUAAAUUUGUGGGGUUUGAACUUUAAGAACCACAUCCAAAGGAUAUUUUUUUGCCCUUGACCCCCCACACGGGGGGGACCCCGCUUUAAUUUAACAUAAUCAUUUUCGUAAGAACGGACGAACCUAUGCCGUUGAAGAUGUUAAUUAACCUCCUUGAAAUUCUUAUUACUAAUGCACGAGCGGAACCUACCUGAUGAAUCAUAUCAAUAAAGGAAGAA
This 598-nucleotide small RNA is filed under the name Epicoccum sp. 1691 FeLB. Its description in RNAcentral is "eukaryotic LSU rRNA". The stretch from base 127 to 280 matches the Rfam family "5.8S ribosomal RNA". The record is from RNAcentral. Lineage: Eukaryota; Fungi; Ascomycota; Dothideomycetes; Pleosporales; Didymellaceae.